GACGAACGCUGGCGGCGUGGAUUAGGCAUGCAAGUCGAACGGUAGGAUACCUUCGGGUAUCUGAGAGUGGCGAACGGGUGAGUAACACGUAGGUGAUCUACCCUCAAGAUUGGGACAACCCAGGGAAACUUGGGCUAAUACCGGAUGAAAGCAGCAGUGAUGUUGUUUGAAAGGUGGCGUAAGCUGCCGUUUGGGGAUGAGCCUGCGCUCUAUUAGUUAGUUGGCGGGGUAAAGGCCCACCAAGGCGAUGAUAGAUAGGCGGCCUUAACGGGUGGUCGCCCACACUGGGAUUGAGAUACGGCCCAGACUCCUACGGGAGCAGCAGUCGAGAAUAGUCUACAAUGGCCGAAAGGCUGAUAGUGCGACGCCGCGUGAACGAAGAAGCCCUUCGGGUGUAAAGUUCUUUUAUAUGUGAGCAGUGCUUUCUAUGUGAACAGCAUGGGGAGAGAGAUAUUAGCAUAUGAAUAAGCAACGGCUAACUCCGUGCCAGC
Molecule: ribosomal RNA, 491 nt
Filed under: uncultured bacterium
Lineage: Bacteria
Description: bacterial SSU rRNA
Rfam family: Bacterial small subunit ribosomal RNA
Source: RNAcentral